GUCAGCAGCCAUUGUAAGCGGAUGCUUUUUCUGCUCCGUAGAAGAAAAAGUGAUUUCGUGCGGUAUACCAUUGCUCACUGCGACGGAACGUGCUAACAAGAGCGAACCCGACUCGAAAGAGCGGUCACAGCCGAAGGAAUAAACAUUCCGGAGAAUAUUCAAGGGCUACCGUGUCGAAGCGAAGCCGAUUCCAGAUUAAGACGCGACCGCAAGAUAGGAAACCUGUGUUCACAAGUACAGCAAUCACGAAUUUCAAUAAUCGAGAUAGAGUACAUGCAACAGAUUCCCCUAAAAGGGGUUUUAAUGCGCAGCGGCAGACCACGAUCCAAGAGCCAAACGGAACACUUCAGGUUGAGCUGCAACGGCCAGAGAAGAACGGCGUGGACAACAAUCAACUGGCGCUGGA
This is a long non-coding RNA of Malaya genurostris, 406 nucleotides long. RefSeq lists it as uncharacterized. The transcript has 3 exons. NCBI's taxonomy places the organism in Eukaryota, Metazoa, Arthropoda, Insecta, Diptera, Culicidae. The record is from RefSeq and is a predicted model, not a curated record.